UUAACUUGUUAAUCAUAAAUUGCUCUACAAAUAGUAUACUGGAAACAUCCGGAUGUGAGGUUAUAAUUAAAAAUGAAAGCAAAACAGCUUCCCUGAAAAGAAAGAAAACUCUUAAUUCAAACCUACCAGAUAGCUGAUUUAUGAAAGUGAAAAUGCUGGCAUGUAUAGAUAUUGGGAAGUCUUGGGAUCUGGAUUUUAUCACUGACCAUCUGG
This is an unclassified non-coding RNA of Homo sapiens (human), 213 nucleotides long. NCBI's taxonomy places the organism in Eukaryota, Metazoa, Chordata, Mammalia, Primates, Hominidae. The record is from Ensembl.